UACAUAGGGGGCAAGCGUUAUCCGGAAUUAUUGGGCGUAAAGGGUGCGUAGGCGGCCUGACAAGUCAGAGGAAAAGGCUACGGCUUAACCGUAGUAAGCCUUUGAAACUGUUGGGCUUGAGUGCAGGAGAGGUAAGUGGAAUUCCUAGUGAAGCGGUGAGAUGCGUAGAUAUUAGGAGGAACACCAGAGGCGAAGGCGGCCACCUGGACAGGUACUGACGCUGAGGUGCGAAAGUGUGGGGAGCAAACAG
This 250-nucleotide ribosomal RNA is filed under the name uncultured bacterium. RNAcentral's name for it is "partial 16S ribosomal RNA". It matches the Rfam family "Bacterial small subunit ribosomal RNA", at positions 524 to 775 of the family's 1533-position model. The record is from RNAcentral.